GACGAACGCUGGCGGCGUGCUUAACACAUGCAAGUCGAACGCUGAUGCUCAGCUUUUGUUGGGUGGAUGAGUGGCGAACGGGUGAGUAACACGUGAGUAACCUGCCCCCUUCUUUGGGAUAACGCCCGGAAACGGGUGCUAAUACUGGAUAUUCACUGGUCUUCGCAUGGGGGUUGGUGGAAAGGGUUUUUCUGGUGGGGGAUGGGCUCGCGGCCUAUCAGCUUGUUGGUGGGGUGAUGGCCUACCAAGGCGUUGACGGGUAGCCGGCCUGAGAGGGUGACCGGUCACAUUGGGACUGAGAUACGGCCCAGACUCCUACGGGAGGCAGCAGUGGGGAAUAUUGCACAAUGGGCGCAAGCCUGAUGCAGCGACGCCGCGUGAGGGAUGGAGGCCGUCGGGUUGUGAACCUCUUUCGCACAUGGUCAAGCCGCAACAAUGGUUGUGGUGAGGGUAGUGGGUAAAGAAGCGCCGGCUAACUACGUG
RNAcentral lists this ribosomal RNA (483 nucleotides) under uncultured bacterium. Its description in RNAcentral is "partial 16S ribosomal RNA". It matches the Rfam family "Bacterial small subunit ribosomal RNA", at positions 28 to 507 of the family's 1533-position model. The record is from RNAcentral.